This 375-nucleotide unclassified non-coding RNA is filed under the name Hevea brasiliensis (rubber tree). The record is from RNAcentral. Lineage: Eukaryota; Viridiplantae; Streptophyta; Magnoliopsida; Malpighiales; Euphorbiaceae.
UGAUAAGCCAUGUUCUUCGCAAGCUGGUGAAGAGAUAACUGAAGAUAAUGUGGUUAACCUAAGGUUAAAGGAGCCAGGAUCAUCCUCUGCAGGCGAGAUUAGCAUGAAGCUGUUCGGGAAAUACAGUGAAACAGAACAUAUGGUUAAUGACAAGGAACCCAAAUAUGUUUUAAAUGAGCAAGUCGAUAGAAAACCUUCUGCUGGUCUAGAUAUCCAAAAUCUGGCUCUGGCCGAUAAUUUAAUGGCCGAGGCCCAAACGAAUUUGGGACAAACUGAAGUUAGCAGUUUGCUGGCUGGAAAUGGUCCUGGAGAUGCACUGUGUUUCUCAGGAGUUGCUAAAAGUUCUUCAUUAUUACACUCCUCAUCGUCACCCAG